Molecule: transfer-messenger RNA, 303 nt
Filed under: Candidatus Pelagibacter sp.
Lineage: Bacteria; Pseudomonadati; Pseudomonadota; Alphaproteobacteria; Candidatus Pelagibacterales; Candidatus Pelagibacteraceae
Rfam family: Alphaproteobacteria transfer-messenger RNA
About the family: Bacterial tmRNA, also known as 10Sa RNA or SsrA, is named for its dual tRNA and mRNA-like properties. Its role is to liberate the mRNA from a stalled ribosome.
Source: RNAcentral
UUAAUUGAUUAAUUUACAUUGACCUAUAUAUUUAACUUGUUGGCUUGCCAACUACGACGAUAAACGAAUUUCGUAAUAACCAUUACGGACGUGGGGGCAGUACCCACCACCUCCACCAUUUACAACUUACGGGGGUGAAAUAGGAUCGACGGGUGACUAAAGGCUAUUCUUUCGUUCGGGAUUGUUCCACCGUAACGGGCUAAACUUUAAAUGCUAACGAAAGUUACGCUAUUGCUGCAUAAUUAACUUAGGUUAAUUAUAGAAGCACGGUCUGGGGCACCGGGUAACAGAACGCCCCUUACA